This 1015-nucleotide long non-coding RNA is filed under the name Equus asinus (donkey). Its description in RNAcentral is "lncRNA (ENSEASG00005036246.1)". Lineage: Eukaryota; Metazoa; Chordata; Mammalia; Perissodactyla; Equidae. The record is from RNAcentral.
GUGGUUCAAAACAAUACAAAUUUAUUUUCUGAUAGUUCUAGGGGUCAGAAACACAAAAUGGGCCUCAAUGGGCUGAAAUAGGGUGUUGGCAGGGAUGCAUUCCUUCCUGGAGGCUCGAGGGAGAAUCUGUUUCUUUGCCCUUUCCAUGUUUUAGAGGCUGCCCGCAUUCCUUGGCUUGUGGCCCCCUUCCAUCUUCAAAGCCAGCAAUGUUCGUCCAGUCUUCUCACAUCACAUGGGUCUGACGCUGACUCUUCUGUAUCCAUCUUCCAUUUAUAAGGACCCUUGUGAUUACUUGGGUCUAUGCAGAUAAUCCAGGAUAAUCUCCCAUCUCAAGGUCAACUGAUUAGCAGCGUUAACUUCAUCUGCAAUCUUAAUUUUCCCUUGCAGUAUAACCUACCAUAUUCAGGUUCUGGGGAUUAGGACAUGGACAUAUUUGGAAGGGGAGAGCAUUAUUCUGUCUAUCGCACAUACUCUCCUGUUUGAAUGUCAAACCAAAUUUGAGGGAUGCCAUCAGCUCCAUUUUAUAGGUAAAGAAGCAGACAGAGAGCACAAGCGCCUUACCCAAGGACAGCUAUGCUCAUAAACAGACCUAGCAUUAAACUCAGUUCUGUAUGACUUCAAAGCAUGGCCCUUUCCACGACACUGAGAAUAGUAAAGAUGUAAACAGAACCUCCCUCGUAAGCUAGAGUGCUUCAGCAAGUGCCUGGCACAUUUUAUAUGCUCAACAAACAGAUGCUGGCAUUAUUAUUCACCCAAGCCUUACCCAAGCACUCUGAGGCUUGCUUGCCAACCAGGGCAGAGUCUUGGGGAUCGUUCUUACAGCCAUAUUUUAUAGGAACUCUCAGAAACAAUUUGUUCAAGUUGUUCCCUUGGAAACUUUAUAUAUUUUCAGAGUCUCCAAAAUGAAAGGUCAUGUUGGAUAGUAGCAGCUGGUGGGAGCCUGAAGCUGAAACUGGGCGGGUUUUCACGAAUUCACAUGGGCAACUUCCUCUCUUUCCUGUCAGUUUUGUUAUUG